UACGUAGGGUCCAAGCGUUGUCCGGAGUUACUGGGCGUAAAGCGCGCGCAGGUGGUCCACUAAGCCCGGCGUGAAAGCCCCCGGCUCAACCGGGGAGGGUCGUCGGGGACUGGUGGACUUGAGGGCGGCAGGGGCUGGUGGAAUCCCCGGUGUAGUGGUGAAAUGCGUAGAGAUCGGGGGGAACACCCGUGGCGAAGGCGGCCAGCUGGGCCGUCCCUGACACUGAGGCGCGAAGGCGUGGGGAGCGAACGGG
This 253-nucleotide ribosomal RNA is filed under the name uncultured bacterium. Its description in RNAcentral is "partial 16S ribosomal RNA". It matches the Rfam family "Bacterial small subunit ribosomal RNA", at positions 524 to 776 of the family's 1533-position model. The record is from RNAcentral.